RNAcentral lists this ribosomal RNA (496 nucleotides) under uncultured bacterium. Its description in RNAcentral is "partial 16S ribosomal RNA". It matches the Rfam family "Bacterial small subunit ribosomal RNA", at positions 28 to 506 of the family's 1533-position model. The record is from RNAcentral.
GAUGAACGCUGGCGGCGUGCCUAAUACAUGCAAGUCGAGCGAACAGACGAGGAGCUUGCUCCUCUGACGUUAGCGGCGGACGGGUGAGUAACACGUGGAUAACCUACCUAUAAGACUGGGAUAACUUCGGGAAACCGGAGCUAAUACCGGAUAAUAUAUUGAACCGCAUGGUUCAAUAGUGAAAGACGGUUUUGCUGUCACUUAUAGAUGGAUCCGCGCCGCAUUAGCUAGUUGGUAAGGUAACGGCUUACCAAGGCAACGAUGCGUAGCCGACCUGAGAGGGUGAUCGGCCACACUGGAACUGAGACACGGUCCAGACUCCUACGGGAGGCAGCAGUAGGGAAUCUUCCGCAAUGGGCGAAAGCUUGACGGAGCAACGCCGCGUGAGUGAUGAAGGUCUUCGGAUCGUAAAACUCUAUUAUUAGGGAAGAACAAAUGUGUAAGUAACUAUGCACGUCUUGACGGUACCUAAUCAGAAAGCCACGGCGAACUACGU